UUGUUUAAUUUUUGUUCCUAUUUUGGUUUUUUGGAUAGUCUGCACUGUAUUAAUAUUAAUCCUUUUGGUUAAUUUACAGAGUUUCUCCUAAAGAUUUGUUGACCAAAAUAAAGCUGAAUCAGUGCUAACUUUCCUCAUUCACAUGAGUUUGUCUGUUUCUUGCUCUUCUGUUUUUUUUUUACCAGAAUGGCUUCAGUUCUGUGCAGGCCACGCAGUUACAGACCACACAAUCUGUUGAAGGUGCUACAGGCUCUGCAGUGAAAUCUGAUUCACCUUCCACUUCUAGCAUCCCCCCUCUCAAUGAAACGGUAUCUGCAGCUUCCUUACUGACGACAACCAAUCAGCAUUCAUCCUCCUUGGGUGGCUUGAGCCACAGUGAGGAGAUUCCAAAUACUACCACCACACAACACAGCAGCACGUUAUCUACGCAGCAGAAUACCCUUUCAUCAUCAACAUCUUCUGGGCGCACUUCGACAUCCACUCUUUUGCACACAAGUGUGGAGAGUGAGGCGAAUCUCCAUUCUUCCUCCAGCACUUUUUCCACCACAUCCAGCACAGUCUCUGCACCUCCACCAGUGGUCAGUGUCUCCUCCAGUCUCAAUAGUGGCAGUAGCCUGGGCCUCAGCCUAGGCAGCAACUCCACUGUCACAGCCUCGACUCGAAGCUCAGUUGCUACGACUUCAGGAAAAGCUCCUCCCAACCUCCCUCCUGGGGUCCCGCCGUUGUUGCCUAAUCCGUAUAUUAUGGCUCCAGGGCUGUUACAUGCCUACCCGCCACAAGUAUAUGGUUAUGAUGACUUGCAGAUGCUUCAGACGAGAUUUCCAUUGGAUUACUACAGCAUCCCAUUUCCCACACCCACUACU
This 863-nucleotide small RNA is filed under the name Pan troglodytes (chimpanzee). RNAcentral describes it as "processed transcript". Lineage: Eukaryota; Metazoa; Chordata; Mammalia; Primates; Hominidae. The record is from RNAcentral.